This 253-nucleotide ribosomal RNA is filed under the name uncultured bacterium. RNAcentral describes it as "partial 16S ribosomal RNA". It matches the Rfam family "Bacterial small subunit ribosomal RNA", at positions 524 to 776 of the family's 1533-position model. The record is from RNAcentral.
UACGUAGGGUGCGAGCGUUGUCCGGAAUUAUUAGGCGUAAAGGGCUCGUAGGCGGUUUGUCGCGUCGGGAGUGAAAACCCAGGGCUUAACUCUGGGCUGGCUUUCGAUACGGGCAGACUAGAGGUAUGCAGGGGAGAACGGAAUUCCUGGUGUAGCGGUGAAAUGCGCAGAUAUCAGGAAGAACACCCGUGGCUAAGGCGGCUCUCUAGUACGGUACUGACGCUGAGACGCGAAAGCGUGGGGAGCGAACAGG